Fukomys damarensis (Damara mole-rat) is the source of this 2491-nucleotide long non-coding RNA. Lineage: Eukaryota; Metazoa; Chordata; Mammalia; Rodentia; Bathyergidae. The record is from Ensembl.
AUGCGGGUGUCUCUGGGGAAGGUGGCGCUGCUUACUGUGCCUCUCCUCUGCUCUAAAACCAGCCAUGGCUCAGUCCUCAUUGUAGCUCACAGCAUCCGGAGUGGUCCAGAAGCUGUAUCCUCCUGCCCCAGGGCCCUUGCGCUGGCGGUGCCUCCUCCCGGGAGCCCCCUUCCUGAGACCCCAGGCUCUUCCUCACUCACCUACGACUCAGCGCUGGGUCUCAGAGAUGCCCACCGGGCCCCUCGCUGCCCACCCCCACCUUGCAGUCACCCCAGCCUGUACUCCCUGAAGCACCCACCAGAGGGCGCCAUGAGCACCGAGUCAGGUCCUCCCCCUCCGCCCUUAGCCCUCCCGGCUCCCACCUCCCUGGGCCAAAGCCCAAGUCCUCCCUGCAGCCCACAGGGCCCUGACCACCCAUUGCCUCUCCGCCUCCCCUGCUCCAGCCACACCAGCUCCUACUGCUCCUGCAUCGCGUCCUGGCCCAGGCCCUGGGAAGUUUCUCCAAGGAAUCACGUGGGCUGGCUUCGAACUUUCAAUCCGCCUGCCUCAGCCUCCUCUGAGCAGCCCGGCCGCUUUGCGUUCUCUGGGAAUCGGGCACGGCGUAAACUCCGGGACGCCUGGUUCCUUUCAUUCCGCCUCACGAUUCCCAGGCUCUGCGCUGUUUUGACUUUUUUUUUUCUUUUUUUGGUUUGUUUUUUUGGACAGGGUCUCCCUGUGUACUUGAGACUGACCCGGAACUCACUAUGUAGCCCAGGCUGGUCUCGAACUCACAGCGAUCCUCCUGCCUCAGCCUCCCGAGAGCUGGGAUGACAGGCGUGCGCCAUCACGCCCGGCUCUCUGCGCCGUUUUGAGACCUCGGUGGUGCGGAUGGACCUCACGCGCUGAUCUGUCCUGCAACGGCCUGACGCCUGCGCGGCUGCUGCUUGGGCUUUCGCGAAUCAGGCUGGUCUGAACACAGGACGUCCGAGCCACGCCCACCCGGGGGCCACGCCCCAACCCAGUCAAGGCAUUGGCCAAUGCGACGACCACGCCCCCGGGGCCCUCUCUCUCCUCCCACCAGGGCCCACCCCUUAAAGGUCCCACCACCUCCCAGCAGCAGAAGCAGGUUGGCACGGAGCCUUCCACACGAAGGCCUUUGGGGUUCGCUCCAGGGCCAGGUGGAGCGGGGCUGAGCAUUUUAACCGCGAUGAUUGAGCAUCCACGGGGCUGGGCCUGGGUGGUCCCGUUGCAUCUCCCAGUGACUCAGUGCUGGUCCGAAUGUCGCUUACAGGGGAGGAAACCGAGGUCCGGCCACGUGAGUGAGGGGCGGGCCUGACUUGAGCCCAAGACCGCCGGGCUGCACUGCCCCGAACUGGGACGGAACUUGGGGCGUCUGUCUCCCUUUGCCAGCUCAGCACAGUGCUCGCUCCCUGAGGCUGCAGCAUCCAGUAGCUCAGUAAGUGUGCGCCGAAACUCACAGGGGAGCCGUACAGCAGCUGCGCACCGGAUCCCACUUCUCCACCCCAAACCUUCGAGGGCUCCCUGCGGCCCUGAGUUAAAGUUUAACCUGUGGGACCCCUGUUCCUGCUCCUGCUCCAGCCGCGCCAGGUUCCUUGCUCUUCUGUGGUCCUGCCGCAGGGCCUUUGCUGGUCCCAGUGCCCGGGAUGCUGUGCAGUACUCUCGUUUCUGAGACAGGGUCUCACCGUGUAGCCCAGGCGAUCCUCCUGCUUCAGCCUCCUACUGGAUACCAGGCCCCCGGGGAGUACCAUGCAGGGUCAGAGUUGCUCCCGGUGAAGUUGCCCGCUGGUGGGGGUCUCAGGACCCCCAUCCCUGUGAGCUCUCCAGAGCCACAGCAAGGCCAGAUCUUGAGGAUCCCUCAGAGCCACGGAACCGCCUCGGCGCGCGGGUGCUGGUGCAGGCGGCAAACAGAUGCCGGCUAUUUAAAACCCAAUGUUAACUCGUUAGACAGCUGUUUCCCAUCCCUGAAGUCGGCGGAAUUAGAAUUAAAUUCAUUCCCGAAUUAAACACACACACAUAUCGGAGACGAGACUCGUUAGCAUUUCGGCAGGCAGCGGCUCUGAGCCGGGGACGGGACGGAGGCUCAGCUUCCGCCUGACAGGUGACAUCACGGCCCAGUGGUUGCCAGCUGGGCUUGGGGCUGCUACACCAGGGACCCAGAUCCUCAUCAGCCUCUGCCACGAGCAUCCAGCUGCCACGUGGUCCCCCCUCCCCCGCAGGCUCCACGUGAUUAGGCAAUAAAAUCCACAUGGUCACCAAGGCCCUCUGUCAGGAGCCCAUAUCCUCUCGUCCCCACCACCCAUGCCUUACCUUGCCCUUAGAUCCAGCCACUCUGGUGGCCCCAGGGCCUUUGCACACGCUGCUCUGCCCCUCCAGAGAACUCUGGUCUCACCCCACCCUGUCUCUUCCUGCCAAAUCCUCCUCAUCCUUCAGCUGCCUGUUGAAAUGUUCCCCACGCAGACAGGAUGUCCCUCACUAUCCCUUGCCAUCACCC